UUAUAAAAAAACAGUGUUCAUUUAACCAUUAGUAUUUAAAAGCAUAAUGAAUAUUCUGAGUUUAUGAAUGCGAAACAUAAUCUCAUUUAUAGCAAUGUGCCUAUGGAAAAUCAUGUUCCGAAUUAUAUCGAUUUGAACUGUCACAAAAAUUUUUUCGAACACAACCAUGUCAUUAGUUGGGGAUCUUCUAUACUAUAAUCUUUAAUUGAAGCAGAGUGUUUGUUAGAUUCCAUUUAAUGCAUUUUUUUAUUUUUAGAAAAUACAGUAUAUUCAUUAAUAUAUUUAAAACCCAAAGCACGACGAGCAGUGGCGUAAUAUCCAGGAAAAACUUUUUUGUUUUUGCAGACGUUUUCAGUGCGAUUGUAUCCUCGUCGGGCUUGCAAGUGAAGGGAGUUUUGGAACGUAGUGGAGUCUUGUACAUGGAACAAUUUUUGGAGAUCGAUGAUUGGCAGUUGUCAUGGUUGCAGUCAGGGUGCUAUGAGUACAUUGAAUAAUUUUGCUAACUGCAAUGUAAUUUAUGGAUA
RNAcentral lists this long non-coding RNA (524 nucleotides) under Androctonus crassicauda. The record is from RNAcentral. Lineage: Eukaryota; Metazoa; Arthropoda; Arachnida; Scorpiones; Buthidae.